This 308-nucleotide ribosomal RNA is filed under the name uncultured bacterium. RNAcentral describes it as "partial 16S ribosomal RNA". It matches the Rfam family "Bacterial small subunit ribosomal RNA", at positions 505 to 808 of the family's 1533-position model. The record is from RNAcentral.
GAGACAGCAGCAGCCGCGGUAAUACGUAGGUCCCGAGCGUUGUCCGGAUUUAUUGGGCGUAAAGCGAGCGCAGGCGGUUAGAUAAGUCUGAAGUUAAAGGCUGUGGCUUAACCAUAGUACGCUUUGGAAACUGUUUAACUUGAGUGCAAGAGGGGAGAGUGGAAUUCCAUGUGUAGCGGUGAAAUGCGUAGAUAUAUGGAGGAACACCGGUGGCGAAAGCGGCUCUCUGGCUUGUAACUGACGCUGAGGCUCGAAAGCGUGGGGAGCAAACAGGAUUAGAGACCCCCGUAGUCCCUGUCUCUUAUACA